GAUCAUGGCUCAGGAUGAACGCUGGCGGCGUGCAUAACACAUUCAAGUCGAACGGGGCAGCAAUGCCUAGUGGCGGACGGGUGAGUAACGCGUGAGCAACCUGCCCGUUGCGUGGGGGAUACCAUCUGGAAACGGAUGUUAAUACCGCAUAAAGUACAGGCGACCGCAUGGUCGUAGUACCAAAGAUUUAUUGCGCAAGGAUGGGCUCGCGUCCCAUUAGAUAGUUGGUGAGGUAACGG
This 239-nucleotide ribosomal RNA is filed under the name uncultured bacterium. Its description in RNAcentral is "partial 16S ribosomal RNA". It matches the Rfam family "Bacterial small subunit ribosomal RNA", at positions 15 to 263 of the family's 1533-position model. The record is from RNAcentral.